Molecule: ribosomal RNA, 253 nt
Filed under: uncultured bacterium
Lineage: Bacteria
Description: partial 16S ribosomal RNA
Rfam family: Bacterial small subunit ribosomal RNA
Source: RNAcentral
UACAGAGGGUGCGAGCGUUGUCCGGAAUCACUGGGCGUAAAGGGCGCGUAGGCGGUUUUGUAAGUCAGUGGUGAAAGCCCAUCGCUCAACGGUGGAACGGCCAUUGAUACUGCAAGACUUGAAUUAUUAGGAAGUAACUAGAAUAUGUAGUGUAGCGGUGAAAUGCGUAGAGAUGUGGAGGAACACCAGUGGCGAAGGCGACUCUUUGGCCUGUAACUGACACUGAGGCGCGAAAGCGUGGGGAGCAAACGGG